Molecule: ribosomal RNA, 407 nt
Filed under: uncultured bacterium
Lineage: Bacteria
Description: bacterial SSU rRNA
Rfam family: Bacterial small subunit ribosomal RNA
Source: RNAcentral
UGAGGAAUCUUAGACAAUGAGCGAAAGCUUGAUCUAGCGAUAUUGCGUGAGUGAUGAAGGCUAUUUUGGUCGUAAAACUCUUUUUUGGUGCAAAGAUAAUGACAAAACUCCAAGAAUAAGUCCCGGCUAAUUUCGUGCCAGCAGCCGCGGUAAGACGAGAGGGGCAAGCGUUAUUCAGAUUGACUGGGCGUAAAGAACACGUAGGCUGUAUUUGAAGUUGAUAUGUGAAAUCCCAAAGCUCUACUUUGGACGUGCUAUCAAAACCAAAAUACUUGAGUAUGGAAGAGGAGGGUAGAAUUUCUAGUGGAAGGGUAAAAUCUGUAGAUAUUAGAAGGAAUACCAAAAGCGAAGGCAGCCCUCUGGUCCAUGACUGACGCUGAGGUGUGAAGGCAUGGGGAGCAACCGGG